UCAAGAUAAAAAGAGCGUAGGGCGAAUGCCUUGGCAUCAAGAGCCGAAGAAGGACGUGGCAAGCUGCGAAAAGCUGUGGAUAGCUGCAAACAAGCAUUGACCCACAGAUAUCCGAAUGAGGGAACUCGGCGGUGGUAAUGCGCCGUCACCGUAUAAUGAAUAGAUAGUUAUACGGAGGGAACCCGGUGAACUGAAACAUCUAAGUAGCCGGAGGAAAAGAAAGAAAGAUCGAUUCUCCUAGUAGCGGCGAGCGAACGGGGAAGAGCCCAAACCGAAAGUCUUCGGAUUUUCGGGGUUGCGGGCCGACGGACGUGAUCUGAUGAGUUUAGCAGAAUAGGUAUGGAAAUACCAGCCGGAGAGAGUAAAAGCCUCGUAAGCGAAAAACAAGUCAGCACAGUCGGUACCAGAGUACCACCGGACACGUGAAACCCGGUGGGAAGCAGGUGGGACCACCCACCAAGGCUAAAUACUACUUGAUGACCGAUAGCGAAUAGUACCGUGAGGGAAAGGUGAAAAGAACCCCGGGAGGGGAGUGAAAGAGAACCUGAAACCCUAUGCUUACAAGCAGAUGGAGCACUAUUAGAGAGUGUGACAUUGUACUUUUUGUAGAACGGGCCAGCGAGUUACGAUAUGCAGCGAGGUUAAGGCGUUAAGCGCCGGAGCCGCAGGGAGACCGAGUCUUAAUAGGGCGACAGUUGUAUGUUGUAGACCCGAAACCGGGCGACCUACCCAUGAGCAGGUUGAAGCGGUGGUAAGACACCGUGGAGGACCGAACCACACGCACGUUGAAAAGUGCGGGGAUGACUUGUGGGUAGCGGAGAAAUUCCAAUCGAGCUCGGAGAUAGCUGGUUCUCCUCGAAAUAGCUUUAGGGCUAGCCUCACUUGAAGAUAUAUGGGGGUAGAGCACUGAAUGGGCUAGGGGGUCUCAAAGCUUACCGAACCUUAUCAAACUACGAAUACCAUAUAUUACCUAAGUGGGAGUCAGACGGCGUGAGAUAAGUUUCGUCGUCAAAAGGGAAAGAGCCCAGAUCAUCAGCUAAGGCCCCAAAGUGCAGGUUAAGUGGAAAAGGAUGUGGGACUGCAUAGACAACUAGGAUGUUGGCUUAGAAGCAGCCACUCAUUUAAAGAGUGCGUAAUAGCUCACUAGUCGAGUGGUCCUGCGCCGAAAAUGUCCGGGGCUAAAACCUGCCGCCGAAGCUAUGGGUGCACGUAAGUGCGCGGUAGAGGAGCAUCGUGUAUUGGCAGAAGCGAUACCGAGAGGAGUCGUGGACGAUACAGGAGAGAGAAUGCUGGCAUGAGUAGCGAGAGGGAGGUGAGAAUCCUCCCCAUCGAAAGCCUAAGGUUUCCUGGGGAAGGCUCGUCCACCCAGGGUAAGUCGGGACCUAAGCCGAGGACUAGAUGGUCGUAGGCGAUGGACAACAGGUUGAUAUUCCUGUACUACCUUUAGCGUUAAAACGAGGCAGUGACACAGGAGGAUAGGCAGAGCGGGUUGAUGGUAGAACCCGUCCAAGCAUUUAGGGAGACAGAGUAGUGAAGUACGCUUUGUUGAUAAUUCUGAGAUGUGAUGGGGACAGAAAAUAAGUAUGGAAGCUGCUGAAUCCACACUGGCGAGAAAAGCUGCUAGGAGCGAAGAGGUACCCGUACCGCAAACCGACACAGGUAGGCGAGGAGAGAAUCCUAAGAUGAGCGAGAUAACCAUUGUUAAGGAACUCGGCAAAAUGACCCCGUAACUUAGGGAGAAGGGGUGCCUAGAAAUAGGUCGCAGAGAAUAGGUCCAAGCGACUGUUUAGCAAAAACACAGGUCUGUGCGAAAUCGAGAGAUGAAGUAUACGGGCUGACGCCUGCCCAGUGCCGGAAGGUUAAGGGGAAAUGUUAGUCGAAAGGCGAAGCAUGGAACUUAAGCCCCGGUGAACGGCGGCCGUAACUAUAACGGUCCUAAGGUAGCGAAAUUCCUUGUCAGGU
This 1962-nucleotide ribosomal RNA is filed under the name human gut metagenome. RNAcentral describes it as "bacterial LSU rRNA". It matches the Rfam family "Bacterial large subunit ribosomal RNA", at positions 3 to 1977 of the family's 2925-position model. The record is from RNAcentral.